GCGGAAGUGGCGGAAUUGGCAGACGCGCUAGGUUGAGGGCCUAGUGGGCUUAUGGGCCCUUGAGAGUUCAAAUCUCUCCUUCCGCA
Molecule: transfer RNA, 86 nt
Filed under: Chloroflexota bacterium
Lineage: Bacteria; Bacillati; Chloroflexota
Description: Chloroflexi bacterium tRNA-Leu
Rfam family: tRNA
About the family: Transfer RNA (tRNA) molecules are approximately 80 nucleotides in length. Their secondary structure includes four short double-helical elements and three loops (D, anti-codon, and T loops).
Source: RNAcentral